CUUCUUUGAAGUGGAAUGGUAACUUGAAUAAGCACUUUUGACCUUGGCCCACACAUUGUUCUGCUGGAAGGACAGACUCUGCUUUACCUUUGACUGUUUCUUUCUCCUGUGGAAACUGGUUUCUAAAGACAAAGAAGAGACAUUUCUCUAAAAGGACAUUUUGGACACGCGUGGUCCUUGUUAAAUAUACCGGGGCUCAACCUCUGGGAAGUGCUGCAUGUGAGUGGCAUCUGAGGCCUCGGGAAAACUUCCAGACUAAAAUGGGCGAAAGUACGGUUGCCCAAGUUGUAAUCAGCAGGAGCCUGAGACCCUCAACUGAGUCCUGUCUCUCCCCACAAGACCUUUGAGUCUUUCAGCUGACCGGCAGACUCAGUGGAACAGUUUGAAGACCACUGACAACCUGACGUGGCCUGGUGGAAAUCCAUGGAAAAUUGCUUGUGAAGCAAAAUGGACCCAGGAAAACCCCACUUGGACUCCUCAAGGUCUGUGACUGUUUAUUUGCUGCUCCCCUAUCCCAUCCCCCACCCCUUGGGGAAUGGGGAACUUUACUGCACUAAGGAUUGCACCACUGGGGACUCGGCCUUUCCCCUUCAACUUCUCUAAGGGGGACUUUCAGCACAAUAUCUGCUUCAUCCACCUCUGGGUGUACAAAGCUAUUGCACUGGGGAGGGGGACUCUGUUGUAAUUAAGAGUUUGGGCUCUAGAGUCUGCCUGCCAGGGUUCUUAACCCAGGUUCCAGGAUUUGCUAGGUGCAAGAGCCUAGGGCAGUCACUCUCAUUUUGUCCCCAAAUUUCCUCACUGGUGAUAUAGGAACAGUAAUAGCACCUGCCUCACAGGGUUGCUGUAAGGAUUAGGGAUGACUUUCAGUCCCUUAGAGCAACUCCAGGCACAGAGUAAAUGUUUUGUAAAUACUGGAUGUCAUUAGAAACACAUAUUUGCUUGCCUGAUAUAGAACAACUAGCUCAAGUGACUCACUUCUUUUGCUCCUAAUUUUCUGGGUCACCUGAAUUUUCCUUGCUAGCUUCACAUCAAACAUGUGGCCUCUGCAAUCACAUCCAGUACAUGUAUAUGUAGGUUUGAGAAGUACCACCCAAUUUCCAGAUUACAUUGCAUUCCUUCUGUUCUCUAUGCAGCAAAACUCUAAUGACAAUUCCCAGAAGCUUCUAGAAAUUCCAACUUUGAUUGGUGUUUGUUUUCCCAAAGAUACUUUGUUUUUCAACUCCUGUAGUUCCUUUAGCUUGACUUCUCUUUCUUGUAUCAUGAAAAUCUAUAUUUCAAACAAUCUUUAAUUAGUACAAAGAGGACAGGCUACAUAAUUUUCAGGACCCAUUGCAAAAUGAAAAUGUAGGGUACCUUGUUCACAAUGAUUAAGAAUUUCAAGGCAGUGACAGCAGAGCAUUAAACCAAGUGCAGGGCCAUGAAACUGGCCCUGAGUACAAACAUAUUUAAAGUCUUUACUUUCUUUAUGCCACAGUCAGAUAGGAUAUUCAAUUUACACAAUGAGAUUUUGUAACCUGUGAGACCCAGAAACCUGGCCUUUACUGCCUACUUGCUUGUACUCACUAACCUUUGUCUUACAUUUUUCCUUAAGUUCUUCUAUAUGGCUUGCCUCCUAACUCAGGCAAUGAAACCUGAAACCACCACUCAGGUGAUGGCAACCUGACCACCAAGGCCCUUUGAGUUAAAACCCCUGACUUGCACCUGCACAGAUGGACCAUGGAGUGACCACCUCACCACACCCAUGACCAGAAUUGCCUUUAGCCUAUUUUAAUACUAAAAUCUCCACUCCAGACCUCAGCCUUAUUUACAUAACAUACAAUGUAUGUAUAGGCAUGUUUCCUUAAAGUGCAUGUGUGACCUUAUGGCCCCCUUUACAUAUGAUGACAAAUAUUCAUCCUAACUCCAAACAAAAGGCACCCAUUAACCCUCUCUCGGGGAGUCACCACUUUGGAAGCCAUUCCCUGUGAUCUUCUUACUUGCUGCAAAUAAAGUUUUCUUUGUACAACA
Lynx canadensis (Canada lynx) is the source of this 2007-nucleotide long non-coding RNA. RefSeq lists it as uncharacterized. NCBI's taxonomy places the organism in Eukaryota, Metazoa, Chordata, Mammalia, Carnivora, Felidae. The record is from RefSeq and is a predicted model, not a curated record. The transcript is spliced from 3 exons.